AUGUGCGCGCCACCACUGCUGCUGCUCGUUGCCGUGCGUGGCAGGCGGGCAUCCGGGGAGCAGCAGGGCAGAAGUAGCGGCUCAUGGCCUCUACUGCUGCUCGUCGCCCGUGUUGUCCGCAGCUGCAGCUUCUGGGAGCAGCAGGGCAGAAGUAGCGGCUCAUGGCCUCUACUGCUGCUCGUCGCCCGUGUUGUCCGCAGCUGCAGCUUCUGGUGGCCGUGUGUGGCCAGUGCUGUUGCUUCUCACCCCAUGUGUUUUCACAAUAUAACUAUUCCUAUUUGUUGCUCCCUUUUGUACUUGCGAAUAUGUCAAGACCAUAAAUUUGAGAUGAGCUAA
Molecule: ribosomal RNA, 336 nt
Filed under: Triticum aestivum (bread wheat)
Lineage: Eukaryota; Viridiplantae; Streptophyta; Magnoliopsida; Poales; Poaceae
Description: partial small subunit ribosomal RNA
Source: RNAcentral